GUGCCAGCCGCGCGGUAAUACCGGCAGCCCUAGUGCUGGCCGAUCUUAUUGGGCCUAAAGCGUCCGUAGCUGGCCGCGCAAGUCCAUCGGGAAAUCCACCUGCUCAACAGGUGGGCGUCCGACGGAAACUGCACAGCUUGGGACCGGAAGGCUCGAAGGGUACGUUCGGGGUAGGAGUGAAAUCCCAUAAUCCCGCACGGACCACCGAUGGCGAAAGCACUUCGAGAAAACGGAUCCGACAGUGAGGGACGAAAGCCAGGGUCUCCAACCGGAUUAGAAACCCGAGUAGUCC
This 292-nucleotide ribosomal RNA is filed under the name uncultured bacterium. Its description in RNAcentral is "partial 16S ribosomal RNA". It matches the Rfam family "Archaeal small subunit ribosomal RNA", at positions 455 to 747 of the family's 1478-position model. The record is from RNAcentral.